GAAUGUGAGGGUGAACUGGCUGCAAAUUUGUCACCCCACUGAUCGCCAGGGUUGAUUCAGCUGAUCUAGCCGGCUACGCAGGUGUGUGUUCCCUUCCUCCCUCACCGCUCCAUGUGUGUCCCUCCCAAAGCUCUGAGCUAGGUUGAAGACGGUGACCACCGCCAUAGAGGAGGACCAUUUCCUCAGUCAAGGGUAUACCAGCAGCCUGCACUCCCCUACAGGAACAGCCAAACAAGCUCACAAAAUAAAAACAUAAAAGGGCUAGGGAGGAGCUCAGUGUGAAGGUCCCUGGGUGCAAUCGCAAGGACUGUGC
Fukomys damarensis (Damara mole-rat) is the source of this 313-nucleotide unclassified non-coding RNA. Its record names the gene 7SK. It matches the Rfam family "7SK RNA". From Rfam's summary of the family: 7SK was discovered as an abundant small nuclear RNA in the mid-70s but a possible function has only recently been suggested. Two independent studies have found that 7SK RNA binds the CDK9/cyclin T complex (known as elongation factor P-TEFb). Lineage: Eukaryota; Metazoa; Chordata; Mammalia; Rodentia; Bathyergidae. The record is from Ensembl.